UCAAGCUCCACACCUCAAAGCUAACAUAUUUCGCUUCCGGUGUUGCUCCUACGAUGAUUACGUUAAUCAAGUAAUUUCAACGGCGUUCCCUGACUUCCACUCCUCCAAUUUUGUCGAUGCCAAUUUAUUCAAGGAUGAAGAAAUAAGGGCUUAGUUUCUGGGAUGUGGCUGUUAAGGUGGUGCAAAUGGCAUGUUCUCUUUGCAAAACAAUACAAAGGGCUUAGUUCCGGGGAGUUUUGAUCAGGUUAAUAAGUCCAAGAAUGAUGAUUCUCAUAUUACUGUGGCGGGUAUUUUUAUUUACUUCGAAUGGCUAUGCUCAUAUUCUUGUAAUUUUUUCUCCUCUUAAAUAGUGUUUGUUUGUUCAUUUCUGAUUUUUUUUAUGAGUUGGGUCAAUUUUAUUGUUUAUGGUGAUUCUUUCUAUUUUAUACUUGUAUGAGCUUAGGCCAGUAAAUUAAAUAAUAAUGUGGGCUACAGGACCUUAUAUGUCAAGUUUGUUGACAAAGUCUUGAGCUGCAUUGUGGCUAUUGUUGUUUGGUUUUGGCAGGUGAUCAGAUGUGAUUUAAGUGGCAAGUCGGUGAAACCAGUGUAUAACUAGACCUAAAGAAAAAGAAUUUGUGCAGGAACGGCCAUUUGCUACUAAGUAUAUUUUCUAUUUAUCUUAUAUUCUUGCUUCUUCUGCCAACCAUACAAGCUGUUAAUAUUCAAAAGGAUCAAACUCAUGGUCUUCGACAGAAUGGGAUCUUUAAUCCUUAGAUUAUGGGUAUCCCUUGUAAAUCAUAGUAGGACUUGCUUGGUUUUGUUUAUAAGCUUAAUCUUUGUCUCUUUUUGGGGUAGAUUAUGAAUUGGUAAUAUACAAUGACCUCAAUUUUCAAUUGAGUGAAUUCUGUUCAAUUGAUUGCAUAAUUUGUUAUUUUUUACUUAAAGUAAUGCCUACUUUAGUGGCCGUAACUUCACUUAAUUUACAACCUUGUACAUUUUUGGAUAAACACUUGCCAUGAUCAUAGAAGUGAAUUUAAUAUUCGAGAAAAGGAUAUAGCAAAUUAAAUAUAGAGAUGAUGGUUCUACUUUUUGCUUUGGCAAACCUAGUGCGAAAAAAAUUGUGAGGUUUACCAAAUCAUUAGCUACUACUGAUACUGGAGCUGGAUAUCAGUGUAUAUAUAAACAUCAAGAGCAAACUUGAUCGGCUUAACUUGAUGUUAAUUUUCUAAUGUAAGUGAGUUUCUCGGUAGUUUUCAUCCUAACGAGGCAAGCCUUCGUCAUGGAUGUCUUUGUCUUGGGGGCAGGUUAAAGAUCUUUAGCUCUAGUAUGUCAACUUAUGUAUGCGAUUGGUUAAUACUUAAUAUAAUACUCCUAGGUUUGAAGCAAACGUUGAAUCCCAUUAGACAAUAUAUAUUAUACAAUGCUGAUGCCAGAGCCAUGUGAACUAGGUACAAGCAUUAGAAAGUCGAGCUUGCCAUCUUAUCUGAUACUGAUAAUUCCUGAGUUCAGAAUCGGCCCUAUGAAAGAUAAGGGACCUUUGUCAGUUUAUAUUUUAUAAGGAACUUUUUUGCAAUAGUUACAACUAACUAGCUGUAUUAAACUUGCAGCACCAUUAGACACUCCAAGCUUUUAUGUACUUGUGUGAGUUUUAGGAUACUGCUUUUUGUCUUUCAAUCAGUCUGACUAAAUUUGUUAUCGCAGUCAGAUUCGGAGACUCAGUUGCUGACAAUUAAGUUCAGAUGGAAUGUCGUGAUGAGGUCAGUGUCCAGCACACUGGUUGGAGUUAGCCUAGAAUUUGAAAUAGCUACAAAUUGUGUUUCUACAUGGGCAAUGAGAACAAUAUUGUGAGGAGUUUGGACCUUUCUCGGCGAACAUCAAGUGCUAUCGUGUCGGAAACAAUAUUGUAUCAGCUUUCCCUGUUGCUAAAAACUGAACUAUAUGUCAAAUGCUCUGAUGCUUCCAUUUCUUCAUCAUUGAUGGGAUUAUUUUGGCCGAGAAACAUUAGAUUUCCUUUCAAGUACUCAACUCGCAAGAACUUAUGUAGUAUUUUUGUUUUGCUAAUUAUAUGACUUUUGUUUAUUUGAUUACAAGUUAGUUAUUUUUGUU
Molecule: long non-coding RNA, 2085 nt
Organism: Daucus carota subsp. sativus
Lineage: Eukaryota; Viridiplantae; Streptophyta; Magnoliopsida; Apiales; Apiaceae
Exons: 2
Source: RefSeq, a predicted model, not a curated record